This 916-nucleotide long non-coding RNA is filed under the name Pan troglodytes (chimpanzee). Its description in RNAcentral is "long non-coding RNA NONPTRT008823". The record is from RNAcentral. Lineage: Eukaryota; Metazoa; Chordata; Mammalia; Primates; Hominidae.
GUUCUCUGCAGUAUUUCCAUCCUUUGACUUAUCUCUGCUUUUGGUCUCCAUGUGUAUGUUCCCGGCUUUCCGACUCCACCAGAUAGAGGAUGAAUAAAGAGGAAGCUCCAGGCUGUGAAGUGUCUAAUCCUUGCUCCCCUCAGAAGUUGGGACAUGUUGGACCAAGGUGGUAAGGAUAGUGAGAGGCCAAAGAUUUAACAAUACACUGUGAUGCUGGGGCUGGGAGGAGAUUGCACCUUUAUAGCCUGGUGGUGGCAGUCCAGAGUGCAACCCCUAGAGAUGGCAACUUGACAAGACCUCUCAAAAAACACUACACACAGCUUUUGCGCCCCUCAUCCCACUUCUGAGAGUAAGUCCUAUGGCAACAUGUGCACACAUGGAAAAUAAAGUCUGUACAAGGUGAGUUACUGCAGCAUUGUUUAUAAUAGCAAAAUACUGGAAAUGACUCAAAUACUCAUUAAUAGGGCACUAGCCAAGUAAAUUAUAGCACACUUACAUAAACAAAUACUAGGCAGCUGUAACAGAGCUUACUCCUCAUUUUUUUUUUCUUUUUUGAAAUGGAGUUUCGCUCUGUCAUCCAGGCUGGAGCGCAAUGGCACAAUCUUGGCUCACUACAACCUCUGCCUGCUGGGUUCAAGUGAUUCUCCUGCCUCGGCCUCCCAAGUAGCUGGGAUUACAGGCACCUGCCACCACGCCCGGCUAAUUUUUGUAUUUUUAGUGGAGAUGGGGUUUCGCCAUGUUGGCCAGGCUGGUCUCGAACUCCGGACCUCAGGUGAUCCAUCUAUCUUGGCCUCCCAAAGUGCUGGGAUUACAGGAACUCCGGACCUCAGGUGAUCCACCCAUCUUGGCCUCCCAAAGUGCUGGGAUUACAGGCAUGAGCCACCGCGCCCAGCCUACUCCUCUUUUAUGUACUGGU